CUGGGCAAGGACCCAGCAUUGACAGCUGCUGCAACCCCUCCCAGAUCUUUCCUUUACUUCCUGGGGAUGGGGGUGGGAGAAGAAUUUACCACAGGGGUGCCCUUCUCCAUUCCCUGGAGAAGCAUCCCUGAAAAAAUUAUAGGGGAUGGAGAUUUAAUCCUGAGUUCUCUACACAUGUGCCUUGGAUGGCUGAACAUACCAGGACUCCCCAGAGAUGGAGAUCACCUUCCAACUCGGGAGUGAGGGGAUUCCUUCACAAGCAGCUGGAUCAAAGGCUUUCCAGAUUUUCUCAUAUGGCUGCUGAUGGCGUGUGUCAUGAUAGGAUUGGGGGCUGUGUUGGCAAGAAUGAUCUGGAGAUGCUUUAGAAGAAACACAGACUCCGAGAACCACUUUUAUGGCAAUGUUCUCUAUUUCCACAAAGAAACUAAGGGGGCCACGCCAAACAAGAACAAGCCUCUGCAAGGGACACCAGAGAAAAAGAGAGGAGAGAGGAUCUACUCUGCUGGUCUCCAACUCCCAACCCCUACCCCUAGGGCUUAGUCCCCUGGAACCGUCCCCCUACCCACUCCAGCCUGCAUCAGGCUAGUUCUUAGCCAAUAAAACCAGCUCACUCCCUGCCUCCAACCUUCACUUAACCUAGGAUUUCUUUGCUCAGUCCAGUGAGGUGUGGGGGAGAGGUCAGCCUUCCUGAGAAUGGGAAAGUGAGGGAGGACUAAGGUUUCCCAGAAGCUGGGAGGUUGCCUCUUCAGCCAAGUCAUGGAGGAUAGGAUCCAAUGCUUAAAGAUAAGCCAGAGCUACAUUUUUGGAAAUGAAAGUGGCAAAAAGGAGGAUGGCCCAAUUUUAUGGCCCCAAUAUUAUACUUGACUCUUAAUAUUUGUUAUAAAGGAUUUUUUUUUUGUUUAUUUUAGUGGGGAAGAGGAGAAAAUGGAGAAAAUAAAUGCUUGUUGAUUGAAAAAUAAAGUGAAAAAACAAAAGAACCAAGAUCAUCUGAUAUGACUCUAAUAUGUGAGACUGCUUCUCAUAUACUUUUUCCAUCAUUUCCUAGACACUACUAGAGCUUGCUCUCCCCUUUCCCCAUCCCUAAUGCCCAACUGACUUAGUAUCCUAUGGCUUCUCCGUAAGGUCUAGCAUUAAUAAACCAGAGGCCCUUGUUUGAUGAGGGCAGGAUGUAUGAUGUUUGAUGUAUGGCCUGUAAGACCCCAGAGCACCUGAGAAGGAAUAGGGGAAGGGAUGGAAUCUGAGAGACUGAAAUCUGAGGAGUUGGAAUUAAAAGACUUGGAUCUGAGGAAAGUAGAAUCCUUGCAACUGGAAUGGAAGAGACUGGGAGCUGAGAUUUGGGGAUAUUGUGAAAUGAGAAUAGACUCUGGGGGAGAAUUAGAUCUUGGGGGCUAAAAUUGGAAGGUAAAGUAGGGCUGAGCUGGAGAGACUGGGAUCUAUGGGCUAGUGUUGAGAUAAAUCUGAAAAAAUCUGUUAUUUGGAAGCUGGACUCUAGGGAAGCUAAAUUCUGGGUGGCUGAGAUGGAAGGGAGACCUGAGAGUGAAAAUAAGAGAAUAUAGAGGAGACACUGAAGAAAGGAGGUAGGAUUUUCUGCAGAACUGGCUCAUCUGAUGAAAAGGAUCUUCCAUAAGUUAUUUCUUCU
Sarcophilus harrisii (Tasmanian devil) is the source of this 1639-nucleotide long non-coding RNA. The record is from Ensembl. Lineage: Eukaryota; Metazoa; Chordata; Mammalia; Dasyuromorphia; Dasyuridae.